UGACGAGCUGCUGAUGGGAGUACAAUGUCGGGCAAACUGCCUGCUGGGGGGGGAUAACUACUGGAAACGGUAGCUAAUACCGCAUAACGUCGCAAGACCAAAGAGGGGGACCUUCGGGCCUCUUGCCAUCAUAUGUGCCCAGAUGGGAUUAUUUAGUAGGUGGGGUAAUGGCUCACCUAGGCGACGAUCCCUAGCUGGUCUGAGAGGAUGACCACCCACACUGGAACUGACACACGGCCCAGACUCCUACGGGAGGCAGCAGGGGGGAAUAUUGCACAAUGGGCGCAAGCCUGAUGCACACAUGCCGCGUGUGUGAAAAAGGCCUUCGGGUUGUAAAGCACUUUCAGCGAGGAGGAAGGUGGUGAACUUAAUACGUUCAUCAAUUGACGUUACUCGCAAAAAAAGCACCGGCUAACUCCGUGCCAGCAGCCGCGGUAAUACGGAGGGUGCAAGCGUUAAUCGGAAUUACUGGGCGUAAAGCGCACGCAGGCGGUUUGUUAAGUCAGAUGUGAAAUCCCCGGGCUCAACCUGGGAACUGCAUUUGAAACUGGCAAGCUAGAGUCUCGUAGAGGGGGGUAGAAUUCCAGGUGUAGCGGUGAAAUGCGUAGAGAUCUGGAGGAAUACCGGUGGCGAAGGCGGCCCCCUGGACAAAGACUGACGCUCAGGUGCGAAAGCGUGGGGAGCAAACAGGAUUAUAUACCCUGGUAGUCCACGCUGUAAACGAUGUCGAUUUGGAGGUUGUGCCCUUGAGGCGUGGCUUCCGGAGCUAACGCGUUAAAUCGACCGCCUGGGGAGUACGGCCGCAAGGUUAAAACUCAAAUGAAUUGACGGGGGCCCGCACAAGCGGUGGAGCAUGUGGUUUAAUUCGAUGCACGCAAAAACCUUACCUACUCUUGACAUCCAGAAACUUA
This 911-nucleotide ribosomal RNA is filed under the name Serratia marcescens. RNAcentral's name for it is "bacterial SSU rRNA". It matches the Rfam family "Bacterial small subunit ribosomal RNA", at positions 89 to 998 of the family's 1533-position model. The record is from RNAcentral. Lineage: Bacteria; Pseudomonadati; Pseudomonadota; Gammaproteobacteria; Enterobacterales; Yersiniaceae.